UACGUAGGGGGCAAGCGUUAUCCGGAUUUACUGGGUGUAAAGGGAGCGUAGACGGCAGGGCAAGUCUGGAGUGAAAGCCCGGGGCCCAACCCCGGGACUGCUUUGGAAACUGCCAUGCUAGAGUGCUGGAGAGGUAAGCGGAAUUCCUAGUGUAGCGGUGAAAUGCGUAGAUAUUAGGAGGAACACCAGUGGCGAAGGCGGCUUACUGGACCGUGACUGACACUGAAGCACGAAAGCGUGGGGAUCAAACAGG
RNAcentral lists this ribosomal RNA (253 nucleotides) under uncultured Eubacteriales bacterium. RNAcentral describes it as "uncultured Clostridiales bacterium partial 16S ribosomal RNA". It matches the Rfam family "Bacterial small subunit ribosomal RNA", at positions 524 to 776 of the family's 1533-position model. The record is from RNAcentral. Lineage: Bacteria; Bacillati; Bacillota; Clostridia; Eubacteriales.